This is a long non-coding RNA of Cynoglossus semilaevis (tongue sole), 377 nucleotides long. RefSeq lists it as uncharacterized. Lineage: Eukaryota; Metazoa; Chordata; Actinopteri; Pleuronectiformes; Cynoglossidae. The transcript is spliced from 3 exons. The record is from RefSeq and is a predicted model, not a curated record.
UGACGACACCUUCACUCUGCUGGUUGUAAAGUCCGCGUCUGGCCUGGUGUCUGCUGGGUCCUAGCGCCGACCCGUUCCAAUCACCCAUGAACAGUAGAGGUCAACACCUAGAGGAAGUAUGGAGGUUUGAACUGGUUUGAUCCAACCUCCUGGUCCUGGUGAAGACGCUCAUGAUGAGGAGGAAAAACCAGUUUCAUACCAUGUGGAGCCGCCCCAGGGUUUGAAGUGGGACACCAGUCAAUCAUGAGUGUCGAUGCAGCAUGUGUUUGUUGCUGGGAAUCCCCAAGGCUUUGGCCAUGACGUCGGUGUCGAAGGACGGCUCCAGAGACAUCAAGGCUCCGUGGAUGCCUUUACCCUGAAGAUUGUCUGCAAACUCC